GACGAACCGUGCGAACGUUAUUCGGAAUCACUGGGCUUAAAGCGCGUGUAGGCGGGCCGCCGCGUCGGCUGCUGAAAUCCCCCGGCUCAACCGGGGAACGGGCACCGAUACGGGCGGCCUCGAGGGGGUAGGGGGUCUGGAACUUCCGGUGGAGCGGUGAAAUGCGUUGAGAUCGGAAGGAACGCCCGUGGCGAAAGCGAGGCCCUGGACCCUUACUGACGCUGAGACGCGAAAGCCAGGGGAGCGAACGGGG
This 253-nucleotide ribosomal RNA is filed under the name uncultured bacterium. RNAcentral's name for it is "partial 16S ribosomal RNA". It matches the Rfam family "Bacterial small subunit ribosomal RNA", at positions 524 to 777 of the family's 1533-position model. The record is from RNAcentral.